GUUAUUAUUCUGUGUUCAGGAUUAUAUCUCUAGUCUGAAUACAAUAUAUAUGAACUCUAUCCUGAAGAAUCCUCCAAACCAGAAUAUAUAUCUCAGACUUCAAGAGAUUUGGACCCUCAAGAAUUUAGUUCCCGGCUGCAAUAAUGAAGGUGUUGUUCUUUCUCAGUUUUCCAAACUCGACACUUCAGCUUUCUGUCUAGCGCAUUUACUAACAUAUAGGGAUUUUGGGUGUGUGGUUGGCCUAGCUACAGUGGGUGGGCUGUGUAAGAAGGCGGGGAAUACAGGAUUCACAAAAACACGCAUGCAGCCUUCUGAUAAGAAUAGUACAGUUAACACAAUGGCGCACGAGGUGGGCCAUAAUUUCGGAGCUGAUCAUGAUGGAGGGAAUUCAUCAGCUUAUGCUCCUUGUAAUCCAAAGGAUGGUAACUAUAUAAUGGGAGGAGGAUCUAAGGAUUUCUCAUUCUGCAGUAUUCAAGCAAUGCAACACAGAAUACACGAAGUCAUCAGCGAACCAGCACUUUUUAAAUCAUGCUUCAAAAGUAUGCCAAUGAAUGGCCAGGGAGUUGUGAAUAUUAAGAAAAAAGAAUUAGCGAGGUCUAGUAUACCCUGUCCUCCAAGCCCUAUAACAGAGGAUGAUACUUGUAAGGAUAAUCCUGAUCCUCCUGAGCCUCCUAAACCUCCACCUGACCCAGUCUGUGGGAAUGGUGUCCUCGAACAGCCAGAGGAAUGUGAUUGCGGAGCAACUCAUGAGGUUUGUGAAGAUCCUUGCUGCUAUCCUGGUACACUAAGUGAAUAUGAUUUGUCAAGCAAUAGUUCUGCUGCACCCUGUAAACUCUACUCACAUCAUCCCUGCUCUAUGCCCUUCAGUUCACCGUUGAUUUACGGGUUAGCAUACUCCUGGCUUUUUCUACUAAUACUGGCACUCAUCAUAGGAAUUGCACUGGUUGUUGAUUGGAAGUACAGAAGAUGUAUGUACGGGCAUAUUAUGGACCCAGAGGAAGAUAUUAGAAUCAACACAGAGGGGAAUAUCCGGCAUUGAAGGGAGAGAGUCCUUGAUAAUUCUCAAUCUCGAGACCCAGUUCAAGUGAUUUGAUAACUUAAUAGUAUAACUUUUUGCCUUGUAACAACAAAAGUACUGAUUUAAUGUCGUCUACCUAUUCCACAAUUUUCUAGUUAUCAUUUUAGGCAUUUGAAAAUACGUUUAUAAUUCCCUUUAAGCACAAUAUUUGUUUAACUGUAGAUAUGUAUCUAGUCUCCCUCAUUUCCUUAUAUUAUUAUUAUAAUGAUCUGAACUGCACUAUUUGUGAUAUUUGUAAAUAAAAAAUAAAUAAAAAUGUUCUUG
Molecule: RNA transcript, 1342 nt
Organism: Eurytemora carolleeae
Lineage: Eukaryota; Metazoa; Arthropoda; Copepoda; Calanoida; Temoridae
Gene name: disintegrin and metalloproteinase domain-containing protein 10 homolog
Exons: 16
Source: RefSeq, a predicted model, not a curated record